Molecule: ribosomal RNA, 418 nt
Filed under: Lentilactobacillus curieae
Lineage: Bacteria; Bacillati; Bacillota; Bacilli; Lactobacillales; Lactobacillaceae
Description: Lactobacillus curieae partial 16S ribosomal RNA
Rfam family: Bacterial small subunit ribosomal RNA
Source: RNAcentral
AAGGCAAUGAUCCGUAGCCGCCCUGAGAGGGUAAUCGCCCCCCUUGGGAUUGAGCCCCGGCCCAAAUUCUUCCGGGAGGCAGCAGUAGGGAUUUUUCCCCAAUGGACGAAAUUUUGAGGGAGCAACCCCCCGGGAGUGAAAAAGGGUUUCGGUUCGUAAAAUUCUGUUGUUAAAAAAGACCAUGUGUAAGAGUAUAAGUUCACACCUUGACGGUAUUUAACCAGAAAGCCACGGCUAACUACGUGCCAGCAGCCGCGGUAAUACGUAGGUGGCAAGCGUUAUCCGGAAUUAUUGGGCGUAAAGCGAGCGCAGGCGGUUUUUUAAGUCUGAUGUGAAAGCCCUCGGCUCAACCGUGGAAGGUCAUUGGAAACUGGGAGACUUGAGUUCGGGAGAGGACAGUGACUCCAGUGUAGCGGUG